Molecule: ribosomal RNA, 107 nt
Organism: Cricetulus griseus (Chinese hamster)
Lineage: Eukaryota; Metazoa; Chordata; Mammalia; Rodentia; Cricetidae
Source: Ensembl
CAUGACACCCCAAGUGUAGCAGAUCUUGUCUGACCUCAGGAACUAAGCAGUUUUAGCCUGGUUAGUACUUGGAUGAGAGACAUGUUGGACUGUACCAGUUCUCAUGU